RNAcentral lists this long non-coding RNA (448 nucleotides) under Physcomitrium patens. RNAcentral's name for it is "long non-coding RNA (PPAT_LNC013216)". The record is from RNAcentral. Lineage: Eukaryota; Viridiplantae; Streptophyta; Bryopsida; Funariales; Funariaceae.
UCUAGCUCACCUCUCUGGUAUUGUUCUUAUAUUCAUCUGAUUAAUCUAGUUCUUGCCAGUUCUUCUUGAACUUCUUGUUAGAUCUCGAGCCUGUAUUUCUAUGUCCAUGAUACGUCCUCACAAAUACACAAUUGUUACCUAUCUAAAAACUACUUAACAAAAUUCUACAAAGUUACUAUUUCCUCAGACCCAUCCAAUUGAUCAUUUGCUGCAUUAUCUAAUAUGGAUUCCACCGUUUCUAGUUCUAAAUUCAAAUCUUCUUCCUCCUCUAAUCCGUCCAUUGACUCCUCCCUUAACUGGUUUGAGAGAUCUUCAUUAUACUCUCCCAAUUCAGGGACUUGAGCCUCCAGUUUCAAGAUUUGGGCAUCAUGGAGUUCCAAUUGAUGCUGUUGCUGACUCAUCCAUUCUGGAACAUCUUCAAUUGAUGCUUGUGAUCGGCUCCUCAUUG